RNAcentral lists this ribosomal RNA (459 nucleotides) under uncultured bacterium. Its description in RNAcentral is "partial 16S ribosomal RNA". It matches the Rfam family "Bacterial small subunit ribosomal RNA", at positions 338 to 795 of the family's 1533-position model. The record is from RNAcentral.
CCUACGGGGUGCAACAGUGAGGAAUAUUGGUCAAUGGACGAGAGUCUGAACCAGCCAAGUAGCGUGAAGGAUGACUGCCCUAUGGGUUGUAAACUUCUUUUAUAUGGGAAUAAAACGUUCCACGUGUGGGAUUUUGUAUGUACCAUAUGAAUAAGGAUCGGCUAACUCCGUGCCAGCAGCCGCGGUAAUACGGAGGAUCCGAGCGUUAUCCGGAUUUAUUGGGUUUAAAGGGAGCGUAGGUGGAUUGUUAAGUCAGUUGUGAAAGUUUGCGGCUCAACCGUAAAAUUGCAGUUGAAACUGGCAGUCUUGAGUACAGUAGAGGUGGGUGGAAUUCGUGGUGUAGCGGUGAAAUGCUUAGAUAUCACGAAGAACUCCGAUUGCGAAGGCAGUUCACUGGACUGCAACUGACACUGAGGCUCGAAAGUGUGGGUAUCAAACAGGAUUAGAUACCCUGUAGUC